CCUGGCGGCACUAGCGCGGUGGUCCCACCUGACCCCAUGCCGAACUCAGAAGUGAAACGCCGUAGCGCCGAUGGUAGUGUGGGGUCUCCCCAUGUGAGAGUAGGGAACUGC
RNAcentral lists this ribosomal RNA (111 nucleotides) under Acinetobacter baumannii. RNAcentral also lists the same sequence under 23 other names. The record is from RNAcentral. Lineage: Bacteria; Pseudomonadati; Pseudomonadota; Gammaproteobacteria; Moraxellales; Moraxellaceae.